RNAcentral lists this ribosomal RNA (253 nucleotides) under uncultured bacterium. RNAcentral describes it as "partial 16S ribosomal RNA". It matches the Rfam family "Bacterial small subunit ribosomal RNA", at positions 524 to 776 of the family's 1533-position model. The record is from RNAcentral.
GACAGAGGAGCCAAGCGUUGUCCGGAUUGACUGGGCGUAAAGCGCACGCAGGUGGUUUGGCAAGUGUGAUGUGAAAGCGACCCGCUUAACGGGCCGAGGCCAUCGCAGACUGCCUAACUCGAGCGCGAGAGAGGUCCGUGGAAUUGCCGGUGUAGUGGUGAAAUUCGUAGAUAUUGGGAAGAACACCGAUGGCGAAGGCGGCCAUCUGGACCGACACUGACGCUGAGGCGCGAAAGCGUGGGGAGCAAACAGG